UGAAUUUCUAUCACUAUUUCUUACUAGGCAGGAAGCUUGCAUAAGAGGCUAUACCCCAAUCUCUAACUCUCGCUCUGCCUGUCCUUCUUUAUCUAUCUUCAUUUCUACAAUGACUUUCUCAUUGUGAUUUGAUUCCCUGAAUUCGUUUUUUUAAUCAUCUCGCGGAAAUCUCUUUUUUCUCGGAUCCGAAGGUCGAUCUCUCUCUGCGUGCUGAUUUUGAAACCCCAACCUGUCCCCCGUAAGCGUUGGCAUUUCUCUGUCCAGGUUUUAACUUAUCUUUUAGAUUUCUUCCCAACUUUCUUUAAAUUCCCUCACAUUUUCAAUCCCAUUCCAAUUUUUAUUUAAUCUUCCUCAACUAUCAUUUUCUUUUUCAUAAUUGAAAUUUCAGAAAAACAAGAUCAAUCCAUCAAAAUCAUCGCUUCUUCCUAGAGCUCUCAAAUACCCAUAACAACAUUCUUGUAAGUUCUUCAAUUUCUUAUUUUAAGUUGAUAUCACAAGUCCAGAUCAUCAAUGGCUGACCUACAGCGACCUACAAAACCUGUUCUCCAAAGACCUCCCGGUUACAGAGACCCGAGAAAUCCGGGCAGACCUGUCUCCAGACCACCACUUCGAAAAGGCGUACUCCCACCUUCAUUCCAGCCGAGGGGCAAUCGCAAAUUCUGUAGUUGUCGUCUAUUCUGGUGCAUCCUCUGCAUUACCUUCUUAACCAGCUUAUUCUUCCUAGGAAUCCUAGGUGGUUUUAUUUACCUCUGGUUCGAUCCUAAACUCCCCGUUUUCCACAUCCAGUCACUUAAGAUCCCCACUUUUAAAGUCAGUGCUAAACCCGACGGCACCUAUCUUAAUUCCGCGACGGUGGUAAGAGUGGAGGUGAGCAACCCAAACUCUAGGCUAACGUAUCGAUACAGUGUUCUCCAGGUGGACAUGAUACUGGGGAAGGAUCAGGGGACUGAGUUGGGAUCCACGACUCUGCCAGGGUUCACUCAGGGUAAAAGGAACACUACGAGUCUUAAGAUUGAGACUCAUGUGAAGAACCAACUGAUUGACGAUGGGAAUGCAUCGAGGCUUAAGACUCGGUUUAAACACAGGAAUUUGGUGGUGAACCUGCGGGUGAAGACCAGUGUGGGAUUGGGCGUGGUGAAAGGAUUCGAGAUAGGGAUGUUAGCAGUGGAUGUGUUGUGUGAUGGUAUAACCAUGAAGGAGAUUGACGGUGGUCAUAUGCCAGAAUGCACUAUUCGCACGCUCAAAUGGAUAAACUUAAAUUGACAUUUAUCUGUGUGUGUAUGGAGUUUGAUGGUAGCAAGAAGACUGAUGAUACAAUUGUACCCAUUUUUAUUAAAAAAGAAAACAAGAAAUGUAAUAUUUACAUACAAUAUUCUUUUCUUUAAGAUGGGGGAGACGGGAGAUCGCAUUGACAGCAAAAACGUGGGUCCAUGUCUAAAAUUUGGUUCCUACUGUGAUAUAAUUGUAUUGGGGAUACAGACAACAUGAACUUAAUUAUUUGUUUAAUUUUGGUAGUUGAUGUGGGCUUAUUUUAU
RNAcentral lists this unclassified non-coding RNA (1535 nucleotides) under Hevea brasiliensis (rubber tree). Lineage: Eukaryota; Viridiplantae; Streptophyta; Magnoliopsida; Malpighiales; Euphorbiaceae. The record is from RNAcentral.